RNAcentral lists this ribosomal RNA (403 nucleotides) under uncultured bacterium. RNAcentral describes it as "bacterial SSU rRNA". It matches the Rfam family "Bacterial small subunit ribosomal RNA", at positions 355 to 774 of the family's 1533-position model. The record is from RNAcentral.
UAAGGAAUCUUCCACAAUGGGCGAAAGCCUGAUGGAGCAACGCCGCGUGCAGGACGAAGGCCCUCGGGUCGUAAACUGCUUUUAUGAGUGAAGAAUAUGACGGUAACUCAUGAAUAAGCACCGGCUAACUACGUGCCAGCAGCCGCGGUCAUACGUAGGGUGCAAGCAUUAUCCGGAGUGACUGGGCGUAAAGAGUUGCGUAGGCGGUUAGUAAAGCGAAUAGUGGAACCUGUGGCUCAACCAUACAGACUAUUAUUCGAACUCACUAACUCGAGAGUGGUAGAGGUAACUGGAAUUUCUUGUGUAGGAGUGAAAUCCGUAGAUAUAAGAAGGAACACCAAUGGCGUAGGCAGGUUACUGGACCAUUUCUGACGCUAAGGCACGAAAGCGUGGGGAGCGAACC